RNAcentral lists this ribosomal RNA (300 nucleotides) under bacterium endosymbiont of Otiorhynchus rugosostriatus. RNAcentral describes it as "bacterial SSU rRNA". It matches the Rfam family "Bacterial small subunit ribosomal RNA", at positions 52 to 336 of the family's 1533-position model. The record is from RNAcentral.
AACGAACGCCUAUACGGUAUGCGUUAACACGAUAGGCAAGUCGAACGGACUAAUUGGGGCUUGCUCCAAUUAGUUAGUGGCAGACGGGUGAGUAACACGUGGGAAUCUGCCCAUCAGUACGGAAUAACUUUUAGAAAUAAAAGCUAAUACCGUAUAUUCUCUACGGAGGAAAGAUUUAUCGCUGAUGGAUGAGCCCGCGUCAGAUUAGGUAGUUGGUGGGGUAAUGGCCUACCAAGCCUACGAUCUGUAGCUGGUCUGAGAGGAUGAUCAGCCACACUGGGACUGAGACACGGCCCAGAC